This 79-nucleotide transfer RNA is filed under the name Actinocatenispora thailandica. RNAcentral's name for it is "tRNA-Asn". Lineage: Bacteria; Bacillati; Actinomycetota; Actinomycetes; Micromonosporales; Micromonosporaceae. The record is from RNAcentral.
UACGGCGCGGGAUGGGCCGGAGCGUUUCGGUUACCACUGUUAAUGGAGAGGCUGCGGGUUCGAGUCCCGCCGCCGGCGC